GGAUUACUUGGAGCGAUUAACUGGACGGCCCAGCAAGCCGUCGCUGGCAUGGCUCGCACUGCUGCGAGUGUGCAACUCAUUGUGAUCCA
This 89-nucleotide transfer RNA is filed under the name Allorhodopirellula heiligendammensis. RNAcentral's name for it is "Rhodopirellula heiligendammensis tRNA-Ala". Lineage: Bacteria; Pseudomonadati; Planctomycetota; Planctomycetia; Pirellulales; Pirellulaceae. The record is from RNAcentral.